GACGUGACUUCAGAGUUUGAUCCUGGCUCAGGAUGAACGCUGGCGGCGUGCUUAACACAUGCAAGUCGAGCGAAGCUCUCUUGUUGAUUUCUUCGGAUUGAAACAAGAGAUGACUGAGCGGCGGACGGGUGAGUAACGCGUGGAGAACCUGCCCCGUACCGGGGGAUAACAGUUAGAAAUGACUGCUAAUACCGCAUAAGCGCACACUAUCGCAUGAUAGAGUGUGAAAAACUCCGGUGGUACGGGAUGGCUCCGCGUUGGAUUAGCCAGUUGGCGGGGUAACGGCCCACCAAAGCGACGAUCCAUAGCCGGCCUGAGAGGGCGACCGGCCACAUUGGGACUGAGACACGGCCCAA
This 356-nucleotide ribosomal RNA is filed under the name uncultured bacterium. Its description in RNAcentral is "bacterial SSU rRNA". It matches the Rfam family "Bacterial small subunit ribosomal RNA", at positions 1 to 334 of the family's 1533-position model. The record is from RNAcentral.